Vulpes vulpes (red fox) is the source of this 106-nucleotide small nuclear RNA. NCBI's taxonomy places the organism in Eukaryota, Metazoa, Chordata, Mammalia, Carnivora, Canidae. The record is from Ensembl.
GUGCUCACUUCAGCAGCACAUAUACUAAAAUUGGAGUGAUACAGAGAUUAGCAUGGCCCCUGCACAAGUAUGACACAUAACAAGGAGGAAAAUGAUCUCUAUAUUU